AAUAUACUAAUUUUCUUAGCAAUUGCAAGAUAAGCCAAGGUCAUCUAGUUGCUAUUUUCUGAAUGAAGGAGUUGCCCGUCUGGUAAUGAGGAAAGCCAGCAUGCCUCAAAGAAGAAGAAGAAACUUAUAUUGAUGAACAAAAAAACUCGACCAUUUCAUCUAUAAAUGCAAAUAAGGAAAAUCAGAAUGGAAGGGAAAAGCUGAUGCCAUAAAAUAAAGACAAGGAUUUCAACAUCCUAUCAUGCCAUCAGGUCAUAUUAAAGUAGCAGGGGUAACUCAAGAAAAGACGCAAUAGAAAAAAGGCAAAAUAAGACUGCAUGCUAUUUACCCCAAAUGAGUUGAAAACUAAAAAAAAAAAAAGAUCUAGCAGUUCCAAAGGGAGAGACUAAUAGAGCAAUUGGGUCCUCUAGAUCAGUGGUUCUUAACCUGGGCAAUAUCUCUGCCCAGGGAGUGAUUUCAUUUUUCAGGGGGGGUGAUGGAAUGAAAAGGGGCAAAGAAGGGUGAUGGAGGGCGAUGAUGGAGCGAGAAGUUUUGGGGACACUUUUGAGACUUUUUUUCAUACAGUGAACCGCUGUAUAUCUGUCGUACAAAAACAUCAGAUCGCUCACUAUUAGUGGAUUGAACUGUGUUUUAAAAUGGUCCUCCAGCUAGCUUUAGUACAGAACGCUGUACAUAUGUGAAUAUGCAUCGCUCAUCUUCAUGCGCGUUACACAGCAGCCUCUAUCACUCUACCCAUACAGUGGCGCGCCAUUGGCCAGAAUGGGCAGUGAUGGAGGGGUGAGUGUUUCUUUCAAAACAUCGCAUGCUGAAUGGCUGUCCAUUGUGAUGUCAGCUGUAAUGUCAAAGUAACUGUUGAAACUAGGUAUGUUUUUUAUAGUGUUCCAGUGCAGUCAAAAAUUUAAUUUGCAGUUAGUGCCUUUCAUUUUGAAGACCUUUUUUUUCGGGCAUUUCAUUUUCUUGCAAUUGAAUUUUGUUUUCAGUGGUCAUUGCAUUAAGUGUCU
Molecule: long non-coding RNA, 1001 nt
Organism: Thamnophis elegans (Western terrestrial garter snake)
Lineage: Eukaryota; Metazoa; Chordata; Lepidosauria; Squamata; Natricidae
Exons: 2
Source: RefSeq, a predicted model, not a curated record